Molecule: ribosomal RNA, 253 nt
Filed under: uncultured prokaryote
Description: partial 16S ribosomal RNA
Rfam family: Bacterial small subunit ribosomal RNA
Source: RNAcentral
GACGAACCGUCCAAACGUUAUUCGGAAUCACUGGGCUUAAAGGGUGCGUAGGCGGCGCGGAAAGUUGGGUGUGAAAUCCCUCGGCUCAACCGAGGAACUGCGCCCAAAACUACCGUGCUCGGGGGAGAUAGAGGUGAGCGGAACUUAGGGUGGAGCGGUGAAAUGCGUUGAUAUCUGGAGGAACACCAGUGGCGAAGGCGGCUUCCUGGACCGACACUGACGCUGAGGCGCGAAAGCUAGGGGAGCAAACGGG